This 497-nucleotide ribosomal RNA is filed under the name uncultured bacterium. RNAcentral describes it as "partial 16S ribosomal RNA". It matches the Rfam family "Bacterial small subunit ribosomal RNA", at positions 28 to 507 of the family's 1533-position model. The record is from RNAcentral.
GAUGAACGCUGGCGGCGUGCCUAAUACAUGCAAGUCGAGCGAACGGACGAGAAGCUUGCUUUUCUGAUGUUAGCGGCGGACGGGGGAGUAACACGUGGAUAACCUACCUAUAAGACUGGGAUAACUUCGGGAAACCGGAGCUAAUACCGGAUAAUAUUUUGAACCGCAUGGUUCAAAAGUGAAAGACGGUCUUGCUGUCACUUAUAGAUGGAUCCGCGCUGCAUUAGCUAGUUGGUAAGGUAACGGCUUACCAAGGCAACGAUGCAUAGCCGACCUGUGAAGGUGAUCGGCCACCCUGGAUCAGUGGAAGGGUCCUGACGUCUACGAGAGGCACCAGUAGGGAAUGUUCCGCGAUUGACGAAAGCCUGACGGAGCAACGCCGCGUGAGUGAUGAAGGUCUUCGGAUCGUAAAACUCUGUUAUUAUGGAAGAACAUAUGUGUAAGUAACUGUGCACAUCGUGACGGUACCUAAUCAGAAAGCCACGGCUAGCUACGUG